This 1841-nucleotide long non-coding RNA is filed under the name Olea europaea subsp. europaea. The record is from RNAcentral. Lineage: Eukaryota; Viridiplantae; Streptophyta; Magnoliopsida; Lamiales; Oleaceae.
GGAAAGUUUGUUAAAAAAAAAAACAAUAAAGAAAAAUGGGCACUUAUUUCAACCGGGUUUUGAAAUUCAAAAUUUAAAAUUGUUUGAUACCCAACCCAAAAUGCUUACUGGUUCACUGUUGUCAUCUGAAACCUUUUGUUUUCUCAACUAUAAAUUGAUUCUUAUGUUUCUCUUUUUCUGUGCCUCUGAAUUGUUUUGUCUUCUCACUCUCAUUUUUCUUUUCAUUCAUUUACAAAGAAAUCCUAAAUUUGCCUUCUUAUGCACAACCCAUGCUUAGAUUCUUUUGUUUGGGAUUCUCACUCACUCUUUCGCCAAACUCUCUCUGUGUUUCCUCUUCUUUUGUUUGAAGAAGAAAUGGGUGUGGUUCCAAAAAAAAAAAAAAAAAAACCAUUAAUAAGUUUGAAGCAUUAAUGGAAGAAGGUCAUUUCUUCUUGCAAGGUUUUAGUAAAUCGGUCCUAAAAACCAUAGAAAUCUCAAAAGAAACCUUCAGUUUCUUCUUCUGUUGCAUAUUUUACUGUUUAAUGUUGAAUUUUUUUAUUUUUUUUUAAAUUUUGCGAGUUCCUAACAAAUUGACCAUUUCUAUUUUUGUUGUUGUAAAUCUUCGAGCUCUUUCUUUCUUUUUUCUGUAUUAUUUCUUGCAAUGAUAACCGUUUAAUGUUGAUAUUUUUUUUCCUUUUUGCGAGGCUUUAACAAAUUGUUCCAAAAUAUGGUAGAACCUCGAAAGAAAUUUGAGUUUUGUCAGUUGUGAAUGUUCAAGUUGUUUCGUUCUUUUUUUUUUUUUUCCAAUAAUUUUAACAAAUUGUUUCCAAAAGAUCAUAAAAUUUUGACAGAAAUUAGACUUUGAGGAUGUCAAUUAUGUUCCUUUAUAAUUUUGUUUUAUUUUUUGUCGAAUUCUAUUCAUGUCUAUUUUGAUGUUUUGUUCUUUUCCUUCAGUAUGUUUUUUUUGAAGUUUCUGUGCAAGUUGUAAAAAAAAAAAAAAAGAUUCACAUACAAAUUGAAGAUUAUCGAACUCAGGACUCAGGUAUGUCACCUUUAUAUUUUCUUUGUUUGAUGGUUUUUUUUCCAAAUAAUUCAUUCUCACUAUCCAUUACUUUUUGUUUCAGCUUUCGAUCUUCUCGAUGUUUGAAUUGAGCGUUAUAGUUUGGGUGAUUAUGUGUAUAGUUUUUUUAUUGUAGUUAAGGAAAUAUUUGUUCUUGAUAGAUUUGUCAUUGAAAUGAUACGUAGAUCAAAAUCUUUUGGUCGAUCAAAAGAUUAAGAAUGUUAUAAGCAUGAUUCAAAAUUUUAGAACAGAUUGAGUGCAACGAAUUUCUGUAGUUUUGAAAAAAAAAAAAUGUACCUCAAAAGAGACUUAAAGAGGCCUUUCUUAAUUUAGGUGGUUUACGAUGUAGAUCAUUGAAUAUAAAAUUUUUACCAAAUUGUCAUUUUCCAACUAUAUACUUGCGUGAAACUAAGGACUACAAAAGCGUAGGCUUGUGAUGAUUAUGCAACUGAAACCAUUAUGGAAAAGGGUCAAAUUUAAAUAAUAAUAGAAAGAGAUUAUCUUUGGAUUAGAAGAAAGCUUAGGAAACACAAUCAAUUGGAAAAGUAGUAUCAUAAGGGAAAAAGUGAAAAGAAAUCCCCACUGGAGACUGAAAUAGAACAUGAAACCGAACCAUUCCAUCCCAAGAGCAAAGAUGGAACUUGCUCGUAGGUAAAAGGUUGUAGGCCUGCCUGAUGAUACAAUUAGCGCUUGCAUAGCAUCCACUAAAGUUUCAUUAGGCAUGUUACUAAUCAAAUAAGAUAAGUUUCGACUAGCAUAGACAGUCUGUCACAAUAUAAUCCCACCGUUGAUCAACUGCACG